GAGGGGCAUCGGGGCGAGGAGCAAUCCUUGCCGCCGGCGACCGGCGCACGGGUGAGUAACGCGUAUGCGACCUGCCCGUUGCAGGGGGAUAAUCGGGAGAAAUCCCGUCUAAUACCGCGUAACGCCGCGGGGCCGCAUGGCCCUGCGGCCAAAGGAAGCGAUUCCGGCAACGGAUGGGCAUGCGUGACAUUAGCUAGUUGGCGGGGCAACGGCCCACCAAGGCGACGAUGUCUAGGGGUUCUGAGAGGAAGGUCCCCCACACUGGUACUGAGACACGGACCAGACUCCUACGGGAGGCAGCAGUGAGGAAUAUUGGUCAAUGGGCGCGAGCCUGAACCAGCCAAGUCGCGUGAGGGAUGACGGCCCUACGGGUUGUAAACCUCUUUUGUCGGGGAGCAAAUUCCGCCACGUGUGGCGGAGUCGAGAGUACCCGAAGAAAAAGCAUCGGCUAACUCCGUGCCAGCAGCCGCGGUAAUACGGAGGAUGCGAGCGUUAUCCGGAUUUAUUGGGUUUAAAGGGUGCGUAGGCGGACUGUCAAGUCAGCGGUAAAAUACGGGGGCUCAACCUCCGCCCGCCGUUGAAACUGACGGUCUUGAGUGGGCGAGAAGUAUGCGGAAUGCGUGGUGUAGCGGUGAAAUGCAUAGAUAUCACGCAGAACUCCGAUUGCGAAGGCAGCAUACCGGCGCCCAACUGACGCUGAAGCACGAAAGCGUGGGUAUCGAACAGGAUUAGAUACCCUGGUAGUCCACGCAGUAAACGAUGAAUACUAGCUGUCCGGGGCGAAUGAGCCCUGGGUGGCACAGCGAAAGCGUUAAGUAUUCCACCUGGGGAGUACGCCGGCAACGGUGAAACUCAAAGGAAUUGACGGGGGCCCGCACAAGCGGAGGAACAUGUGGUUUAAUUCGAUGAUACGCGAGGAACCUUACCCGGGCUCAAACGACAUAGGAACGUACCUGAAAGGGUUCGGCUCUACGGAGCUUGUGUCGAGGUGCUGCAUGGUUGUCGUCAGCUCGUGCCGUGAGGUGUCGGCUUAAGUGCCAUAACGAGCGCAACCCCCAUCGACAGUUGCUAACAGGUCAGGCUGAGGACUCUGUCGAGACUGCCGGCGCAAGCUGCGAGGAAGGCGGGGAUGACGUCAAAUCAGCACGGCCCUUACGUCCGGGGCGACACACGUGUUACAAUGGCAGGUACAGCGGGAAGCCACCUGGCGACAGGGAGCGGAACCCGAAAGCCUGUCUCAGUUCGGAUUGGAGUCUGCAACCCGACUCCAUGAAGCUGGAUUCGCUAGUAAUCGCGCAUCAGCCACGGCGCGGUGAAUACGUUCCCGGGC
RNAcentral lists this ribosomal RNA (1330 nucleotides) under uncultured bacterium. RNAcentral describes it as "partial 16S ribosomal RNA". It matches the Rfam family "Bacterial small subunit ribosomal RNA", at positions 64 to 1379 of the family's 1533-position model. The record is from RNAcentral.